This 303-nucleotide ribosomal RNA is filed under the name uncultured bacterium. RNAcentral describes it as "partial 16S ribosomal RNA". It matches the Rfam family "Bacterial small subunit ribosomal RNA", at positions 507 to 807 of the family's 1533-position model. The record is from RNAcentral.
AGCAGUAGCCACGGUAAUACGUAGGUGGCAAGCGUUGUCCGGAAUUAUUGGGCGUAAAGGGCUCGCAGGCGGUUCCUUAAGUCUGAUGUGAAAGCCCCCGGCUCAACCGGGGAGGGUCGUUGGAAACUGGGAAACUUGAGUGCAGAAGAGGAGAGUGGAAUUCCACGUGUAGCGGUGAAAUGCGUAGAGAUGUGGAGGAACACCAGUGGCGAAGGCGACUCUCUGGUCUGUAACUGACGCUGAGGAGCGAAAGCGUGGGGAGCGAACAGGAUUAGAUACCCCCGUAGUCCCUGUCUCUUAUAC